CCAAUAGCGUAUAUUAAAGUUGUUGCAGUUAAAAAGCUCGUAGUUGAAUUUCGGGAUUAGUACGUUGGUCGUGCCUUAGGUACGUACUGGUGUUACUGGUUCCUACCUUCUGACGAACCAUCAUGUCAUUAAUUUGGUGUGGCGGGGAAUCAGGACUGUUACUUUGAAAAAAUUAGAGUGUUUAAAGCAGGCUCGCGCUUGAAUACAUUAGCAUGGAAUAAUGAAAUAGGACGUUGAUCCUAUUUUGUUGGUUUCUAGGAUUGACGUAAUGAUUAAUAGGGAUAGUUGGGGGCAUUAGUAUUCAAUUGUCAGAGGUGAAAUUCUUGGAUUUAUUGAAGACUAACUACUGCGAAAGCAUUUGCCAAGGAUGUUUUCAUUAAUCAAGAACGAAAGUUAGGGGAUCGAAGACGAUCAGAUACCGUCGUAGUCUUAACCAUAAACUAUGCCGACUAGGGAUCGGAUGAUGUUAAUUUUUUAAUGACUCAUUCGGCGCCUUACG
This 499-nucleotide ribosomal RNA is filed under the name uncultured Glomeromycotina. Its description in RNAcentral is "partial small subunit ribosomal RNA". It matches the Rfam family "Eukaryotic small subunit ribosomal RNA", at positions 591 to 1092 of the family's 1831-position model. Lineage: Eukaryota; Fungi; Glomeromycota. The record is from RNAcentral.